This 492-nucleotide ribosomal RNA is filed under the name uncultured bacterium. RNAcentral's name for it is "partial 16S ribosomal RNA". It matches the Rfam family "Bacterial small subunit ribosomal RNA", at positions 29 to 507 of the family's 1533-position model. The record is from RNAcentral.
AGUGAACGCUGGCGGUAGGCCUAACACAUGCAAGUCGAACGGCAGCACAGUAAGAGCUUGCUCUUACGGGUGGCGAGUGGCGGACGGGUGAGGAAUACAUCGGAAUCUACUUUUUCGUGGGGGAUAACGUAGGGAAACUUACGCUAAUAUCGCAUACGACCUACGGGUGAAAGCAGGGGAUCAUCGGACCUUGCGCGAUUGAAUGAGCCGAUGUCGGAUUAGCUAGUUGGCGGGGUAAAGGCCCACCAAGGCGACGAUCCGUAGCUGGUCUGAGAGGAUGAUCAGCCACACUGGAACUGAGACACGGUCCAGACUCCUACGGGAGGCAGCAGUGGGGAAUAUUGGACAAUGGGCGCAAGCCUGAUCCAGCCAUACCGCGUGGGUGAAGAAGGCCUUCGGGUUGUAAAGCCCUUUUGUUGGGAAAGAAAAGCAGCAGGUUAAUACCCCGCUGUUCUGACGGUACCCAAAGAAUAAGCACCGGCUAACUUCGUG